Molecule: ribosomal RNA, 253 nt
Filed under: uncultured bacterium
Lineage: Bacteria
Description: partial 16S ribosomal RNA
Rfam family: Bacterial small subunit ribosomal RNA
Source: RNAcentral
UACGAAGGGGGCUAGCGUUGUUCGGAAUCACUGGGCGUAAAGGGCGCGUAGGCGGCUUUAUAAGUCGGGGGUGAAAGCCUGUGGCUCAACCACAGAAUUGCCUUCGAUACUGUAGAGCUUGAGACCGGAAGAGGUAAGUGGAACUGCGAGUGUAGAGGUGAAAUUCGUAGAUAUUCGCAAGAACACCAGUGGCGAAGGCGGCUUUCUGGACAGGUACUGACGCUGAGACGCGAAAGCGUGGGGAGCAAACGGG